Molecule: long non-coding RNA, 286 nt
Filed under: Phasianus colchicus (ring-necked pheasant)
Lineage: Eukaryota; Metazoa; Chordata; Aves; Galliformes; Phasianidae
Description: lncRNA (ENSPCLG00000004183.1)
Source: RNAcentral
CUUUACCUUCUCAGUGCCUGUGAUUCUGGCUCUUUUUAGUUGGUUUUAAUGACCUUUUGUUAAGUAGUCUAAUACGUUUUCUUGUUUUGUAUAUUGUGCUAUUCUUACCAUGCUAUGCAAAGACCACAAGAAGAGGUGCCAUUAUGAUAUAACUCUUAUAUACACAGUGUUACCUUUGUUCCUUGAGCUGUCGGAUGACCUUGUCCCAGUUAAGCAUGAAUCCUUGAGGUGUACGAGCUCAGCACUGAACACAGAGCUCUGCAAUGACAGCAGUGCCCCUCUGUGA